GAUGAACGCUGGCGGCGUGCCUAACACAUGCAAGUCGAGCGGCAGCGAGGGGUGCUUGCACCCUGUCGGCGAGCGGCGGACGGCUGAGUAACGCGUGGGAACGUGCCCCAAAGUGAGGAAUAACUGCCCGAAAGGGUAGCUAAUACCGCAUAUUAUCUUCGGAUCAAAGGAUUUAUCCGCUUUGGGAGCGGCUCGCGUCGGAUUAGGUAGUUGGUGAGGUAAUGGCUCACCAAGCCGACGAUCCGUAGCUGGUCUGAGAGGAUGACCAGCCAGACUGGAACUGAGACACGGUCCAGACUCCUACGGGAGGCAGCAGUGAGGAAUCUUCCACAAUGGGCGAAAGCCUGAUGGAGCAACGCCGCGUGCAGGACGAAGGCCUUCGGGUUGUAAAAUGCUUUUAUAAGUGAGGAAUAUGACGGUAACUUAUGAAUAAGGAUCGGCUAACUACGUG
RNAcentral lists this ribosomal RNA (451 nucleotides) under uncultured bacterium. RNAcentral describes it as "partial 16S ribosomal RNA". It matches the Rfam family "Bacterial small subunit ribosomal RNA", at positions 28 to 507 of the family's 1533-position model. The record is from RNAcentral.